UCAGGACGAACGCUGGCGGCGUGCUUAACACAUGCAAGUCGAGCGGUAAGGCCUUUCGGGGUACACGAGCGGCGAACGGGUGAGUAACACGUGGGUGAUCUGCCCUGCACUCUGGGAUAAGCUUGGGAAACUGGGUCUAAUACCGGAUAUGACCGCAUGCCGCAUGGUGUGUGGUGGAAAGAUUUAUCGGUGCAGGAUGGGCCCGCGGCCUAUCAGCUUGUUGGUGGGGUAAUGGCCUACCAAGGCGACGACGGGUAGCCGACCUGAGAGGGUGACCGGCCACACUGGGACUGAGACACGGCCCAGACUCCUACGGGAGGCAGCAGUGGGGAAUAUUGCACAAUGGGCGGAAGCCUGAUGCAGCGACGCCGCGUGAGGGAUGAAGGCCUUCGGGUUGUAAACCUCUUUCAGCAGGGACGAAGCGUGAG
RNAcentral lists this ribosomal RNA (428 nucleotides) under Rhodococcoides fascians. Its description in RNAcentral is "bacterial SSU rRNA". It matches the Rfam family "Bacterial small subunit ribosomal RNA", at positions 24 to 456 of the family's 1533-position model. The record is from RNAcentral. Lineage: Bacteria; Bacillati; Actinomycetota; Actinomycetes; Mycobacteriales; Nocardiaceae.